AGCGAACGCUGGCGGCAGGCUUAACACAUGCAAGUCGAACGGGCGUAGCAAUACGUCAGUGGCAGACGGGUGAGUAACGCGUGGGAACGUACCUUUUGGUUCGGAACAACCCAGGGAAACUUGGGCUAAUACCGGAUAAGCCCUUACGGGGAAAGAUUUAUCGCCGAAAGAUCGGCCCGCGUCUGAUUAGCUAGUUGGUGUGGUAACGGCGCACCAAGGCGACGAUCAGUAGCUGGUCUGAGAGGAUGAUCAGCCACAUUGGGACUGAGACACGGCCCAAACUCCUACGGGAGGCAGCAGUGGGGAAUAUUGGACAAUGGGCGCAAGCCUGAUCCAGCCAUGCCGCGUGAGUGAUGAAGGCCCUAGGGUUGUAAAGCUCUUUUGUGCGGGAAGAUAAUGACGGUACCGCAAGAAUAAGCCCCGGCUAACUUCGUGCCAGCAGCCGCGGUAAC
This 452-nucleotide ribosomal RNA is filed under the name uncultured bacterium. Its description in RNAcentral is "bacterial SSU rRNA". It matches the Rfam family "Bacterial small subunit ribosomal RNA", at positions 29 to 524 of the family's 1533-position model. The record is from RNAcentral.